Molecule: non-coding RNA, 74 nt
Organism: Gymnothorax javanicus (giant moray)
Lineage: Eukaryota; Metazoa; Chordata; Actinopteri; Anguilliformes; Muraenidae
Source: the annotation of a GenBank genome assembly
GAUGUGAUAGUGCAGUGGUUAAGUGUGUUGGACUUGGGAUCAAAAGGUCCCGAGUUCAAGUCCUUACCAUAGCU